GACCCCCUGCAAUCUUCCUCUGCUGACUUCAGACUAAGGCUAUGCACAAGGAAUCUAGGAAAUCCUGCACAGGCUAACCAGAGAUUGAACAAUCUCUCCUUACCCAUUGCAGGGGCUGUAAGUCACACAGCCAUAGAAAGCAGCGAUGACAAAAGCUUGCUGGAUCCUCAAAUCCAUCUUCCUGCUAAUGCUGGCCACCUGUUCCCUAGCAGGACUCUUCCAUGAAGAUUGGCCAAUGAAGUGCUGCCAGUUAGGAUUAUUAUUGAAUACAUGGUGUGGCACAAACAUAGAGGAAGACAGAGUUUGCUCCAUGGACCUCCAGUCUAAGGGCCUGAUCCCACUCAGUGGGAGCAGAGCGGGGACCCCUCUUACCACUGUCAAUACCUGCACAGCCAUGAUGCUGGUGCUGAAUGGCUAAACUUUAAGCACUUAUUUUUCUUGUUUUAAAACACAAUGGAAUGCCUGUACAUAGACUCUGUUUUUCUAUUGGCUGGCACCAGUGUUGCCUGGGUGACGGCUGUGUGCAAACACUCUUUUAAGGAACCCAGAGAGCCAGCUGCUUAAUGAGCCCUGGGAAUCUGCAGGCUACAGGGGAUAGAGCAGAUCCCAGCACUAAGGAAAAACCUGUAAAGUGCAUUCAGACAGCUGGUGAUAAUGGAUGUGGGAGAUGAAGAUGCUAUCAAGGAAAAAGCGCACAUUUUAAUUGAGGAUGUAAUCAGGGAUGCAAAAGAGCAUCUGCGAGAUUUGCAAGAAAAAGAGAGAGAAGCUGAGUACAUCAUCCAAAACAUUCAAUGGACCUCAUGCAAGGACUUUACAGUGGAGAGGGGACAGCAGCAAAUUGAGGAAUACAUGUCAUCAUCUGUACUAGAGUGUGGAAGUCUUACAGUGUGGUGUAUGUUCAGCAGACGUGGGAGUUUCAUGAGAGCUGGCUUCACUGGUCAGACUACCUCCAGGAAGAAGAACUGAAGUACAGCAGGAGGUACCAUUACCGGGUUCGCUGGAGCAUCCCAACAUGUAGGAAGCCCAUUCCACGAGCAACAGCAUGCAUCUAUUUCAUCAUCGAGAUCUCCAAAAUUAAACCACCUACCUUGCCGGUUGAGGUAUUCUUCAUUUUGGAGUCAAAUAGGCUCAUUCACAGGUAUAUUUUGUUCUGUAGCUUUUUUUUAAAGCAACGAACCAGUGUAGAGGGGCCCUAGCAACUGUGCAUAAAACAUGGUUAAUUUC
This is an RNA transcript of Mauremys mutica (yellowpond turtle), 1224 nucleotides long. It is a transcript of the gene named A-kinase anchoring protein 14, with no coding region annotated. The transcript is spliced from 5 exons. NCBI's taxonomy places the organism in Eukaryota, Metazoa, Chordata, Testudines, Geoemydidae. The record is from RefSeq and is a predicted model, not a curated record.